UCUCAGUACCCCGAGGAAAAGAAAUCAACCGAGAUUCCCCUAGUAGCGGCGAGCGAACGGGGAGCAGCCCAGAGUCUUAAUCAGCAUUAGCAUCAGGAGAACGGUCUGGAAAGUCCGGCAGUAAAGGGUGAUAGCCCCGUAUCCGAAGGUGUUAGUGUUGUGAACUCGACGAGUAGGGCGGGACACGUGUUAUCCUGUCUGAAUAUGGGGGGACCAUCCUCCAAGGCUAAAUACUCCUGAUUGACCGAUAGUGAACCAGUACCGUGAGGGAAAGGCGAAAAGAACCCCGGCGAGKGGAGUGAAAUAGAACCUGAAACCGUGUACGUACAAGCAGUGGGAGCCUUGAUUUAUCAGGGUGACUGCGUACCUUUUGUAUAAUGGGUCAGCGACUUAUAUUCUGUAGCAAGGUUAACCGUAUAGGGGAGCCGUAGGGAAACCGAGUCUUAACUGGGCGAAUAAGUUGCAGGGUAUAGACCCGAAACCCGGUGAUCUAGCCAUGGGCAGGUUGAAGGUUGGGUAACACUAACUGGAGGACCGAACCGACUAAUGUUGAAAAAUUAGCGGAUGACUUGUGGCUGGGGGUGAAAGGCCAAUCAAACCGGGAGAUAGCUGGUUCUCCCCGAAAGCUAUUUAGGUAGCGCCUCGUGAACUCAUCUUCGGGGGUAGAGCACUGUUUCGACUAGGGGGUCAUCCCGACUUACCAACUCGAUGCAAACUACGAAUACCGAAGAAUGUUAUCACGGGAGACACACGGCGGGUGCUAACGUUCGUCGUGAAGAGGGAAACAACCCAGACCGCCAGCUAAGGUCCCAAAGUCAUAGUUAAGUGGGAAACGAAGUGGGAAGGCUCAGACAGCCAGGAUGUUGGCUUAGAAGCAGCCAUCAUUUAAAGAAAGCGUAAUAGCUCACUGGUCGAGUCGGCCUGCGCGGAAGAUGUAACGGGGCUAAACUAUGCACCGAAGCUGCGGCAGCGA
RNAcentral lists this ribosomal RNA (973 nucleotides) under Providencia rettgeri. Its description in RNAcentral is "partial 23S ribosomal RNA". The record is from RNAcentral. Lineage: Bacteria; Pseudomonadati; Pseudomonadota; Gammaproteobacteria; Enterobacterales; Morganellaceae.